UAGAGAUUCGUGACCCUGUACCAAGGUAUUGGUUGCAGGGAGCGUUUUGGCUUUAACUUGUUGAUUUGUAAUGCCUGUUAGGUUAGCUCUCGUCAAUGGUGAUUUGAGUCUGAGACUAGGUUAGCUUGAGAGUCUCUGUUGCGGUGGCACUUAGAUUUGGUUAAUGAACUUGUUGUCUAGAGUUAAUUUAUUCAGCAUGUCAAUCACCUGUAAACUGA
RNAcentral lists this small RNA (218 nucleotides) under Arabidopsis thaliana (thale cress). RNAcentral's name for it is "ATSL264530". Lineage: Eukaryota; Viridiplantae; Streptophyta; Magnoliopsida; Brassicales; Brassicaceae. The record is from RNAcentral.